Molecule: ribosomal RNA, 2329 nt
Filed under: Virgibacillus halodenitrificans
Lineage: Bacteria; Bacillati; Bacillota; Bacilli; Caryophanales; Bacillaceae
Description: partial 23S ribosomal RNA
Rfam family: Bacterial large subunit ribosomal RNA
Source: RNAcentral
AUGGGUGACGGCGUACCUUUUGUAGAAUGGACCGGCGAGUUACGAUCCCAUGCAAGGUUAAGUGGAAGACACGGAGCCGCAGCGAAAGCGAGUCUGAAUAGGGCGAUUUGAGUAUGUGGUCGUAGACCCGAAACCGUGUGAUCUACCCAUGUCCAGGGUGAAGGUCAGGUAACACUGACUGGAGGCCCGAACCCACGUAUGUUGAAAAAUGCGGGGAUGAGGUGUGGGUAGGGGUGAAAUGCCAAUCGAACACGGAGAUAGCUGGUUCUCUCCGAAAUAGCUUUAGGGCUAGCCUCAAGGAAUGAGUACUGGAGGUAGAGCACUGAUUGGACUAGGGGCCCUCAUCGGGUUACCGAAUUCAGUCAAACUCCGAAUGCCAGCUACUUAGACUUGGGAGUCAGACUAUGGGUGAUAAGGUUCAUAGUCGAAAGGGAAACAGCCCAGACCGCCAGCUAAGGUCCCAAAGUAUACGUUAAGUGGAAAAGGAUGUGGAGUUGCCCAGACAACCAGGAUGUUGGCUUAGAAGCAGCCACCAUUUAAAGAGUGCGUAAUAGCUCACUGGUCGAGUGACUCUGCGCCGAAAAUGUACCGGGGCUAAACGUAUCACCGAAGCUGCGGAUUGUUCUUACGAACAAUGGUAGGAGAGCGUUCCAAGUGCUGUGAAGUCAGACCGUGAGGACUGGUGGAGCGCUUGGAAGUGAGAAUGCCGGUAUGAGUAGCGAAAAAAGAGUGAGAAUCUCUUUCACCGAAAGCCUAAGGUUUCCUGAGGAAGGCUCGUCCUCUCAGGGUUAGUCGGGACCUAAGCCGAGGCCGAAAGGCGUAGGCGAUGGACAACAGGUAGAUAUUCCUGUACCACCUCAUGAGCGUUUGAACGAUGGGGGGACGCAGUAGGAUAAGGAAUGCGCACCGAUGGAUGUGUGCGCCCAAGCAGUGAGAAAGUUGGAUAGGCAAAUCCGUCCAACAAUUUCAAGCUGUGAUGGGGAGGGAAAUAGAGUACCGAAGUUCCUGAUUUCACACUGCCAAGAAAAUCCUCUAGUGAGUUCAUAGGUGCCCGUACCGCAAACCGACACAGGUAGGCGAGGAGAGAAUCCUAAGGUGAGCGGGAGAACUCUCGUUAAGGAACUCGGCAAAAUGACCCCGUAACUUCGGGAGAAGGGGUGCUCCUUUAAGGAGGAGCCGCAGUGAAUAGGCCCAAGCGACUGUUUAGCAAAAACACAGGUCUCUGCGAAGCCGAAAGGCGAAGUAUAGGGGCUGACACCUGCCCGGUGCUGGAAGGUUAAGGGGAAGCGUUAGCUUACGCGAAGCGCAGAACCGAAGCCCCAGUAAACGGCGGCCGUAACUAUAACGGUCCUAAGGUAGCGAAAUUCCUUGUCGGGUAAGUUCCGACCCGCACGAAAGGUGCAACGACUUGGGCACUGUCUCAACGAGAGACCCGGUGAAAUUAUACUAUGCGUGAAGAUGCGCAUUACCCGCGACAGGACGGAAAGACCCCGUGGAGCUUUACUGUAGCCUGAUAUUGAAUGUUUGUACAGCUUGUACAGGAUAGGUGGGAGCCUUGGAAACCGGAGCGCCAGCUUCGGUGGAGGCAUCCGUGGGAUACCACCCUGGCUGUACGACCAUUCUAACCCAGGGCCGUGAUCCGGUCCGGAGACAGUGUCAGGCGGGCAGUUUGACUGGGGCGGUCGCCUCCCAAAAGGUAACGGAGGCGCCCAAAGGUUCCCUCAGAAUGGUUGGAAAUCAUUCGUAGAGUGUAAAGGCAGAAGGGAGCUUGACUGCGAGACCUACAAGUCGAGCAGGGACGAAAGUCGGGCUUAGUGAUCCGGUGGUUCCGCAUGGAAGGGCCAUCGCUCAACGGAUAAAAGCUACCCCGGGGAUAACAGGCUUAUCUCCCCCAAGAGUUCACAUCGACGGGGAGGUUUGGCACCUCGAUGUCGGCUCAUCGCAUCCUGGGGCUGUAGUCGGUCCCAAGGGUUGGGCUGUUCGCCCAUUAAAGCGGUACGCGAGCUGGGUUCAGAACGUCGUGAGACAGUUCGGUCCCUAUCCGUCGUGGGCGUUGGAAGUUUGAGAGGAGCUGUCCUUAGUACGAGAGGACCGGGAUGGACACACCGCUGGUGUACCAGUUGUUCCGCCAGGAGCAUAGCUGGGUAGCUACGUGUGGCAAGGAUAAGUGCUGAAAGCAUCUAAGCAUGAAGCCCCCCUCAAGAUGAGACUUCCCAUCACUUCGAGUGAGUAAGAUCCCUCAGAGACGAUGAGGUUGAUAGGUCCGAGGUGGAAGCGUGGUGACACGUGGAGCUGACGGAUACUAAUAGAUCGAGGACUUAACUAAUUU